RNAcentral lists this non-coding RNA (159 nucleotides) under Niveispirillum sp. SYP-B3756. RNAcentral's name for it is "6S RNA". It matches the Rfam family "6S / SsrS RNA". Rfam says of the family: E. coli 6S RNA was the first non coding RNA to be sequenced, but its function was unknown until recently. It consists of 184 nucleotides that fold into an extended hairpin structure with a large single-stranded internal bulge. The record is from RNAcentral. Lineage: Bacteria; Pseudomonadati; Pseudomonadota; Alphaproteobacteria; Rhodospirillales; Azospirillaceae.
GGCUGGCUGCCUGGUGCGUCAGGCUGCUUUAUCCCCGGGGCCGAUAAUCAUUACCUCUGGGGGCUGUCCCUGUCGGCGCCGUGGUGCCGGUAUAUGGCUCCCACCUGCUUGAGCAGGUCACGAGGGAUGGCUUACGCCAACGGCCAAGGUGGCCACCUU